Molecule: ribosomal RNA, 446 nt
Filed under: uncultured bacterium
Lineage: Bacteria
Description: partial 16S ribosomal RNA
Rfam family: Bacterial small subunit ribosomal RNA
Source: RNAcentral
CCUACGGGGUGCAGCAGUGGGGGCUAUUGCACAAUGGGGGAAACCCUGAUGCAGCGACGCCGCGUGUGGGAAGACGGUCCUCUGGAUUGUAAACCACUGUCAUGUGGGAGCACAUUAAAAAGAUAGUACCACAAGAGGAAGAGACGGCUAACUCUGUGCCAGCAGCCGCGGAAAUACAGAGGUCUCAAGCGUUGUUCGGAAUCACUGGGAGUAAAGCGUGCGUAGGCUGUUUCGUAAGUCGUGUGUGAAAGGCGCGGGCUCAACCCGCGGACGGCACAUGAUACUGCGAGACUAGAGUAAUGGAGGGGGAACCGGAAUUCUCGGUGUAGCAGUGAAAUGCGUAGAUAUCGAGAGGAACACUCGGGGCGAAGGCGGGUGCCUGGACAUUAACUGACGCUGAGGCACGAAGGCCAGGGGAGCGAAAGGGAUUAGAUACCCCAGUAGUC